This 429-nucleotide ribosomal RNA is filed under the name Pseudomonadota bacterium. Its description in RNAcentral is "Proteobacteria bacterium partial 16S ribosomal RNA". It matches the Rfam family "Bacterial small subunit ribosomal RNA", at positions 355 to 776 of the family's 1533-position model. The record is from RNAcentral. Lineage: Bacteria; Pseudomonadati; Pseudomonadota.
UGGGGAAUAUUGGACAAUGGGCGAAAGCCUGAUCCAGCCAUGCCGCGUGUGUGAAGAAGGUCUUCGGAUUGUAAAGCACUUUAAGUUGGGAGGAAGGGCAGUAAGCGAAUACCUUGCUGUUUUGACGUUACCGACAGAAUAAGCACCGGCUAACUCUGUGCCAGCAGCCGCGGUAAUACAGAGGGUGCAAGCGUUCAUCGGAAUUACUGGGCGUAAAGCGCGCGUAGGUGGUUCGUUAAGUUGAAUGUGAAAGCCCCGGGCUCAAACAGGGAACAGCAUCCAAAACUGGCGAGCUAGAGUAGGGCAGAGGGUGGUGGAAUUUCCUGUGUAGCGGUGAAAUGCGUAGAUAUAGGAAGGAACACCAGUGGCGAAGGAGACCACCUGGGCUCAUACUGACACUGAGGUGCGAAAACGUGGGGAGCAGACAGG